ACACGACUACAUUAGAUACCCGUGUAGUCCUAGCCGUAAACGAUACUCGCUAGGUGUCGGCCACGGUGCGACCGUUGUCGGUGCCGUAGGGAAACCGUGAAACGUGCCGCCUGGGAAGUACGGUCGCAAGGCUGAAACUUAAAGGAAUUGGCGGGGAGCACCACAACGGGUGGAGCCUGCGGUUUAAUCGGACUCAACGCCGGGAAUCUCACCGGAUAAGACAGCUGAAUGAUAGUCGGGAUGAAGACUCUGCUUGACUAGCUG
This 264-nucleotide ribosomal RNA is filed under the name uncultured archaeon. RNAcentral describes it as "partial 16S ribosomal RNA". It matches the Rfam family "Archaeal small subunit ribosomal RNA", at positions 719 to 982 of the family's 1478-position model. The record is from RNAcentral.